Long non-coding RNA from Topomyia yanbarensis, 1246 nucleotides. RefSeq lists it as uncharacterized. NCBI's taxonomy places the organism in Eukaryota, Metazoa, Arthropoda, Insecta, Diptera, Culicidae. The transcript has 4 exons. The record is from RefSeq and is a predicted model, not a curated record.
AUGACCACGUUGACAUUAAAAAUGCGACCAUUUGUGAGCCAGCCAUAUUAUUCGUGGAUACAUCCUGUAAUUCCGACUUAUUUAGGACUACACAUAAAAGGUAACAAAUCAUAUCCUCUACGGAAUCUACUACACAAUUGCUUUGAUUAUUUCCCAACAAAUCCCGCAAACAUCUGUUAUGUACAGCACCGCGCAAAUAAUUGACGUUGGAAAACAAAUCGGCAACUUCAGUUGCCAAACACUUAUGUGGUUUUUGUUUGAAGCGAAACUGAGUCAGUUCCUAAACCCAACUGCUGUCAAAAUGUAUGAACUGACAGCGGUUGGGGUUAGAACCUUACUCAGUUUCAGGUUCAAUCGAAAUCGCCAUUAGAAACGAUCGAAGCAUUUCUCCGUCAAUGUCACUUUUUUGACUCAAAUUUUUGUAGGUGCUUUCUUCCGUCCAAUUGGUCAGUUUAUUUUAGUUUUCGAUUGAAGGAACUGGUGUAGUUUUAUGCACUGAAAUUGCACUUUUCUUGCAGAAGUGUUGUCAAAACACCGACACCAUGUUCCAUUGAUAGGAACUGCAAUAAAAAGCGCAAUUCCAGUGCAAUUUUGGGGCAGAGAUUUGGCACCGAAAAUUUUGUCGGUGCGAGCCAGUGCACUCACCAACACAGACCAACACCAAUCACGCAAACGUCAAAGCAACGCUCAAAAUGGAUGAGUAAACAAAUCGGUUAUCGCAGAAAACGAACCAAAAAAGGAAACCGACGAACAACAGACGAAACCUAGGACGAAAUCGUUGCCCGUUAUCACUAUCAACGGUAAGGAUUUCUAGGUUCUGAAAAAGCUCGGUUCCGGUAGCUCCAGUUCAGUGUUUUCGGCCAAACAAAUGGGGACGGGCGUUGAAUGUGCAUUGAAGUUGAUGAAUCUCGAAGGCGAUUCCAGCAUAGUGGAAGGCUACUUAAACGAAACGAAACUGUUAUGACUAUUGUCAUGUUCCGGAGUCUAACCAACUUUACCUGGUUAUGGAAAAGGGUAAUAGUGAUCUGCACAAAAUCGUGCAAAGCUACCGCAAGGAUAUCCCGCUGUACACGCUCAUGCAAAUUUGGUACCAGAUGAUACAGUGUGUGCACUACAUUCACAAGCACGGUAUCAUCUAUCUGGAUCUCAAACCGGCUAACUUGGUAAAAGGUUGCGUGAAGCUGAUUGAUAAGUAACUAUUUAUACAAAUGAAACUGUACAAAAUUAUGUUGUAGAACAAUCCAUC